RNAcentral lists this transfer RNA (73 nucleotides) under Coriobacterium glomerans PW2. It matches the Rfam family "tRNA". Rfam says of the family: Transfer RNA (tRNA) molecules are approximately 80 nucleotides in length. Their secondary structure includes four short double-helical elements and three loops (D, anti-codon, and T loops). Further hydrogen bonds mediate the characteristic L-shaped molecular structure. tRNAs have two regions of fundamental functional importance: the anti-codon, which is responsible for specific mRNA codon recognition, and the 3' end, to which the tRNAs corresponding amino acid is attached (by aminoacyl-tRNA synthetases). tRNAs cope with the degeneracy of the genetic code in two manners: having more than one tRNA (with a specific anti-codon) for a particular amino acid; and 'wobble' base-pairing, i.e. permitting non-standard base-pairing at the 3rd anti-codon position. Lineage: Bacteria; Bacillati; Actinomycetota; Coriobacteriia; Coriobacteriales; Coriobacteriaceae. The record is from Rfam by way of RNAcentral.
GGGGGUUUAGCUCAGCUGGGAGAGCGCGGGCUUUGCAAGCCUGAGGUCAGGGGUUCGAGCCCCCUAACCUCCA